UCCUCUUUUGCCAUAAGCUCCUUUAAUCUUCCCCUUAUUUUUGUACUCUCCUCUUGGAGCGGGAUAGAUAAGGGAUUCUUUUCCAAAGCUUCAACUGAGUUAUUCAGAUCAAUCCUUGCCUGGGCUACCCUCUUCGCUGAAUGCCCUUUUUCUGCUGCCCAUUGCUUAGAAAGUACCUUAACUUCCUUAAGUUUUUGCUGUAACUUAUACAAUCCAGUUCCAUAUAUUUGU
Molecule: long non-coding RNA, 231 nt
Filed under: Zostera marina
Lineage: Eukaryota; Viridiplantae; Streptophyta; Magnoliopsida; Alismatales; Zosteraceae
Description: long non-coding RNA (ZMAR_LNC002293)
Source: RNAcentral